This 621-nucleotide long non-coding RNA is filed under the name Marmota monax (woodchuck). The record is from RNAcentral. Lineage: Eukaryota; Metazoa; Chordata; Mammalia; Rodentia; Sciuridae.
AUGCAACAUUGCUUUCUUCUGGGUAUGGGGCAGGAUACCUGUUCCAUGACAGAGGAAGGAGGAAGAAGGUCAGACAAUGACCCUUCCUAGGUUUUAUAGCCUACUUCUCUGAAUAAGAGGCAAGAAGAAUUCUAGUUUCUGUGAACUCCUUCAGAAGAGAAGGGUAACAGAUUAGGAGAACUUUCUGCUUCUGACAUGUACCUCUGUUUCCUUCAGCUUAAAACACUAUGUAGGCCAAGUGAUAUGGUUUGAAUAUAUCCUCUUUAAAAUUUGUGUUGAAAUCUAAUGUGCAGGUUAUCAAUAAAAAGAGGCAGGGGUUUUCAGGAGAUGAUUAGGCAAUGUAAGUUCUGCUCUGAUGGAUGGAAUUAGUGCCUUAUAAAAAGGCUAGAAAGAAAGAGUCCAGCUUCCUCUUUGGCCCUUUCUGCCAUGUGAGGAUACAGCAAAGAGGCACAAGCUGCCCCGACCAGAUAUUGAAUCUGCUAGUGCCUGAUCCUGGACUUCUAGAACCCUGAGAAAUUUCUGUUACUUAUAAAUUACCCAGACUAAGGUACUUUCUUAUAGCAGCAGGAACAAAUAUGUCCACAUGCCGUAUUUGGAGGUAGCAUUUCCUGCACCCCAUGG